GCCGGGGUAGCUCAGCCAGGUGGAGCACUCGGCUGUUAACCGAGGGGUCCCGGGUUCAAAUCCCGGCCCCGGCGCCA
Molecule: transfer RNA, 77 nt
Filed under: Thermofilum pendens
Lineage: Archaea; Thermoproteati; Thermoproteota; Thermoprotei; Thermofilales; Thermofilaceae
Also listed under: 1 other name
Description: tRNA-Asn
Rfam family: tRNA
About the family: Transfer RNA (tRNA) molecules are approximately 80 nucleotides in length. Their secondary structure includes four short double-helical elements and three loops (D, anti-codon, and T loops). Further hydrogen bonds mediate the characteristic L-shaped molecular structure. tRNAs have two regions of fundamental functional importance: the anti-codon, which is responsible for specific mRNA codon recognition, and the 3' end, to which the tRNAs corresponding amino acid is attached (by aminoacyl-tRNA synthetases). tRNAs cope with the degeneracy of the genetic code in two manners: having more than one tRNA (with a specific anti-codon) for a particular amino acid; and 'wobble' base-pairing, i.e. permitting non-standard base-pairing at the 3rd anti-codon position.
Source: RNAcentral